UCAGAUUGAACGCUGGCGGCAGGCCUAACACAUGCAAGUCGAGCGGGGUUUUCGGACCUAGCGGCGGACGGGUGAGUAAUGCGUAGGAAGCUACCCGAUAGAGGGGGAUACCAGUUGGAAACGACUGUUAAUACCGCAUAAUGUCUACGGACCAAAGUGUGGGACCUUCGGGCCACAUGCUAGCGGAUGCGCCUACGUGGGAUUAGCUAGUUGGUGGGGUAAUGGCUCACCAAGGCGACGAUCCCUAGCUGGUUUGAGAGGAUGAUCAGCCACACUGGAACUGAGACACGGUCCAGACUCCUACGGGAGGCAGCAGUGGGGAAUAUUGGACAAUGGGCGCAAGCCUGAUCCAGCCAUGCCGCGUGUGUGAAGAAGGCCUUCGGGUUGUAAAGCACUUUCAGCGAGGAGGAAGGGAGUUGUGUUAAUAGUACAGCUUCUUGACGUUACUCGCAGAAGAAGCACCGGCUAACUCUGUGCCAGCAGCCGCGGUAAUACAGAGGGUGCAAGCGUUAAUCGGAAUUACUGGGCGUAAAGCGCACGUAGGCGGUUUUUUAAGUCAGAUGUGAAAGCCCCGGGCUCAACCUGGGAAUUGCAUUUGAAACUGGAAAACUAGAGUGUGUGAGAG
Molecule: ribosomal RNA, 625 nt
Filed under: uncultured bacterium
Lineage: Bacteria
Description: bacterial SSU rRNA
Rfam family: Bacterial small subunit ribosomal RNA
Source: RNAcentral